CAUUAAGAAUAAUUUUAAAAAUAAUUUCUAUGCCUUUCCUAAUUCAGAUGCUUUUGCAAAUUAACUUGGGCUUUAAGCUAUUUCCACAAUGUGUGCUCAUUACCAAAUGUUUUAUUUUUAAGAGUCUAGUGUUCAGCAAAGACGUUUUUGAAAAAAGUAUUCUCUAACCAAUACUUCUUACAGCCCUUAACAUAAUAUAUGUGCAUGUAGCGCCGCCUAGUGGAUGACGUCUGGAAAACUCGAACACAGAGAUCUUCUAUCGCAGAAGAAGAGAUCUUUUUCUACACACACAUACACGUUUCUUGUAAUUUACCCGUUCAUCAUUAACACUGCUAUAAAUGCAUGGUGUUUUACACUUUCGAGAUGUUAUUAUAUCCAAGGCGUGAUAUAAUAAUUCUGCUAUUUUUAAAAAUCAUACGCAUAAGAAAAUUAUAAACUUAUUUUUACACGGGAAGUGUCUUUAAAGACACACACACCUGGCUCAACUACUGUAUCUUAUUAUGCGCUUUAGUACCCCAUCCUAAAGAGCACUUGUGACUAAUUUGCAAUGGAAUGGGGACUAAUUUGCACCUGAUAAAGUGGGCAGUGGGUCAGGAAAACUUACGCCACCAUAGAGGUUGCACGAGACUCUCUGUCGUUUUCAUUUCCAAAAAAAAAAUCAAAGUAUAUUUGGAAUUGGGAUGGCAAACGCACCCCUCAAAAAACAGAGCGAAACGUCGCAUCUUUCCUGUGCUAGUUGCCAAAAUGCUGGUUAGCGAAAAUCAUAUUUGGUGCUGCUGUCUAUUGCAUUUCCGAAUUAUAGGUGCCGAAUAUAUAGAUUUCUCCACAAUUUUAUUUUUUAAAAAAUCAGACUAGAGGAAUAUAGCUCCACCCCGCCCCCUCUCCACAUUUUUCUUACAUUCCAGAAAUGUUUUUAUCCGGGCUCUAUUAAAACACCAGUUUGCUGCUGCAGCAGCAACAAAAUCCACCCCGCUCGUUUUCUUGGACCUUUGCGUGCAUUUGAAAAUGGAUUUUGGACCCCUCGUUUGCAAAUCACUUCCGUUGAAGUCUGUAUUUUCAGGCGAACAUCUUCCCAAUUUUCUCCUUUGGAUGUGGGAAUCAAACACCCAUUCUUUGCAUCUGGCAAAACCCUGAGGUAAGGAGAGGAAGCGACUUUUCCUUUCCACCUGAUCUGUACUGUACUCGGGACGUGCCUGAUUCCUAGCCUAGGGAUUUGAGGCGAUAAACCUCUCUCACACACACACCCCAAGACCCACUAGACUAGAAUAAACUAAGGGCUAUGAAGCGCUGACCCGCUCCGCGCUGGCUGGGACCAGAUCGCUCGCGAAGUCCUGCGCUGCCUCUUACGCGCGACAGCAACCUGGACACGUUGCCCCAGGCAGUGCGCCAGUCAGUUCCCCCUGGAAGAGCUCCCUUGAUCUCCGUUUGGACAGGGACUUCCACGAAAAUUUUCCAAACUGCUGGACUUGUGACCCGUCGCUGGAGCCCCCUCCCCACUUCCUCAUGCAUGCCUGAUGUCCGGAUGCGGAACUCUUAAGCCCGAUCCAGCGACCUCUUCGCUUGCUCUCUCCAAAUCCCACCGCUCUCUCCAGCUGCCCCUUCUCGCUUUGCCUUCGGCGGACCACGUCGCGCCGACAAGGAUCAGGAGCCUCGCCAGGCUAACUGGCCCAGGCAAACUCCGCCUCGCGAGAAGCUAGUCCUUCCUAGCGCGAGGAAGAAGGCAGAUAACGUCCAUGGAAAUUCCCAAGCAAGACCAUUCCAAGGAUCAUGGCACAGUACCUUCGGUGCUGCAAUAACCUCCACCACUAAGCUGUGAUUAUUCCACCACCUCCGUCUCUUAGCAUCUUUAAAAUGGGCAUUCGCUAUAAUAAUUAAAAUCAUUAGGGAACUUUCUUGUGGUUUCUAGCAGAGUCUGGCUCGAACCUUUAAAAGCGUAGAUUGCGUGGAUUAAGAAUUUGGAAACUUCAGAUUAAAUCCGUAUUUACAAGUUUCUAGUCCUCCUGGUUGGGGGGGAGGGGGAUGUACCAGCAGUGGUGAAACCCAGAAUGAUUAGAAUCAACGCAAACCCCAAGUCAAUGUAAAGGCUCGCACAUCAGAUGAACGAUAGUACCGCAGCUUCCAUUGUCGAAGACUUCCGUUUUUCCGAAGGAUCCAUGCCAUUUUUCGCGUUGCCCCUCGGCUUCGAGUCUAUAUACCGGGGGGGCUAACCCGCGGGUUAUCUACUGCCCUAAAUAUCGGCCGUUUCUCUCCAGAUUCCUUUAGAGAAGAAUAGGGGGAAAGCCCUGAUCGAUUGCCCAGAAGCCUCAAACUUCAUAGGUCCUCGAAUAGAUGGUGCACAAGAUGUUGAUGUGUAUUAUAUUUAUCUAAUUCACACAAUGUAUUCCUUCUGCCAGUGCCUUUGCCGUGCUAAAAUUCAUUCACUCACUGUCCUCCUCGUUUUCUCUCCUGUAAUACUGUAUGAGGAAAGAUAUUACUGUGUCUUCUUGGUCUGCCUUACAACAAUUCUCUGCGCAACGUCAACUAAAGGUGGGACUCCAACUAUAGUCAUACUCAGAGUAGACCCAUUGGAAUUAAGGGGCACGACUAACUUGGGUGCAUUAUUUUCAGUGGGUCUGCUCCAAGCGAAGUUUAGCUGGAUACAACCCGAAGGGUCUUGUAGGACCUUAAAGGUUAGCCAGCGUUCUUAUAGUACAGGCCACAUCGCCAGACGCAUGAAGCGUAAUAGCCGGUUAUUAGGGAUGUGUAUGUAGGUGUGGACAGAGAUAGAGAUAUGAUUAUUGUAAUAGUUCCUGAGUUCACAGGACUGCAAAGUGCUCUGAAGCCUCUAGACCAGUGGUGGCCAGGUAGCGCACCCAUUUAUCGCGGGCAAGGAUUUCACACAACGCAUGUGUCCCGCUUGAAGUCAGUGGCAAACGCCUCUGUCGGUUUCCACGGGGUCCUGCGAGGGGCCCGCAAGUCAAGCUCAUGCUAAAAUGGAGAGCUCGUGCUUGAAGUCAGUUGUGACUCGUUGGAUACUUUCGUUGCUGCAAACGAAAGCACGAGAAAUACUUCGACCCCUGGAGUGAAGAAACAUCCGGGACAUUUCGUGUAUGCAUGUGUGGAGAAGUUUAUCCACAAUCCAAUGACACCCAUUUAGUCCUGCGCUCCCGGAUGCGCUCCCGGCAGCGCCGCUUCCUGCCACCACUGAUCCACAACCAGAUAGGCCGGCCAGGCUUCUUUCCGCUGGUCGGUUUCCAAUACUUUUUGUUUAUUUCCCCAUUCAAGAAAUUGACCGGCCAAGGUGAGUUUUGUAGUUUAUUCAUUUUUUGUUGCUCUCCUCCUCAGUUCCCACCUGGGAGGCAGAAAGAGACACCUUGAGUCGGCUCAGUGGCGUCACCCAGGCCUGGAGCGAAUUCGGCUUGACUCCCAAUUGUUGAAGCGGUUUGCGGAUCGCAGCUUCUUCUGGGCUUUGACGAGCUUUAGGCCUUCCUGGAUGAGCUUGGUUCUCCACCCACCUUCUCCUUUCCCUCCCGCUUUCAUUUUUCCGUUGCAGCCUCUCUCUCUCUCUCCCUCUCUCUCUCUCCCUCUCUCUCUCCAUUUCCAGCAGUCUGGAGCGUGAAUUACAGAGGAGACAGACAGAAGGAAUUUAACCGAGGAGACAGAACACAUUCAAAUAAUAAGUCAGCCCCGCUUCUAAAGCACAGAUUCAAUAUUAGCACAUUAAAGUGUCAUUUAGGAUACUAAUUAAUACUUAUUUCGUUUUAAAUCAUGCUUUUUUCAAGGGCUUCAAGAGCGUAAUUUGCUUGCAGUGGCAUCUUAUGACUAGGAACAUAAGUAUGCGGAAUUGAGACUCACACUCACACACACAAACCUUUGCUGAUUCCCUCCCUCCCUCACCCAACUGUGCAUUUCCCAAACAGCAACGCUCGGCAAUCCCACGCUCGCGCCCGAGAAGUGACGCGCUGAGAUAGAACUUGGCGUUUCUCCUUCUGUGCGCGGAGUUUGGCUGGGCCUAAUACGAAUGUGACGUUUAGACCAACGCAAAAAGGUCUUCUGAACAAGCUAGAAUGAGGUCGCAGGUGAACUGGGAGCCUUGUCUCCUUUCCCAAGAGAUCUCCAAUAUUGGGAUUUUUGAAAAGAGGGAGCCCAAUAAUGAAGGGCGGCUUCUUGGUUAGGGAUCUGCAGUUGUACAAACAGGUCCAAGUUGCAAUCCACAAUUCCCCAGCCUCUUGAGCUGCUCCUUCUCUUUUGAAUAGGGUUACUCAUGAGAAAACGGCUCCUGUCUCUGGAGUGCAAGAGGGCAUGCUCAGGGCUUUAGAACUGGGUCCUUAGCUGUGUGCCUUUGGGAGUAAAUUCAACCCAAAAGGAAUGGGCCGGGCGGUUCCCAGUCUCUGCCUUAACUUCACACUUCUUCCCUAAGCCCUUUUAGGAAGAAGUUCUUUGAGUGAAAUUCUUAGUAAGUUUUAAAAGGGUGGAGUGGGGCAGAACCAGGGUGCCAGUCUGGCAUCUAAACCUUAAAGCCUAUUUAUUAUUGUGGAUUUUUAAUAAUGUUGCAGUAUAUGUUUGAAAAGCAGGUUUUAUGCCGCUAUGUAGAAGUAAACCUUCAGGUUUUCCCACGUCCAUUUAGCUCAUCGGCUUAAUGCCCACUAUCCUAAAUUCGCCAGGUAACAUUCUGAAGAGCGGACAUCUAUGAGAUGGGUCACAAAAAUAAGUUUCCGUAUUCUGUUAGUUUUUAAUGACAGAAAUAGGUUUGUUUGGGGUGAAGUAUUUGACAGAUAUAGAAGGAAAGUAAAGCUUUCAUGGAAGCGUGAAAAGGAAGUUGGGAACAUUUUAAAACUGAACAAAAAGUUCCCUUAGGCCUAAUCCGUUUUGAUCCGUAGCUACGAUUCUCCUUUUUUGUAACCCUUUUUGAAUGCCUGGCACUCCCUGAGUUACGUUUACUUAGACUCUAGAGUAAGUAAAUCCGUCGGAGCUAAUCCUCCAAGUAAGAGGACUUAGGAUCUAGCGCAGCCGAAGCUGCGACGACUUUGCUAAAGAUUUGCAGUCACUUUUGCUGACUCCAAAGAGCUUUUGCACCGGAGUAAUUGUAUCGGGAAUCCCUUCCCAUUUUUUCUCCUCUUCCGGUUGUGGCUUUUAAAACAAACCUGUCUUACAUAAACAUUCAUUCCAGUCAAGGUACAGAAGCUGUGCGCUUGAGGAUUUGCCCGCGGGACUUGAGUCCAUGUGCGCUUAGGACUGGACGCUUCUAGUUCCAUUGACUGAGUUGGACCUUAAGAUCAGCUUAACCCUGUCCGCUGGAAUGUGAAUCAAGCUCAGUGUGUGCGCAGCAUCGUAACUUCUUGAGCAUAAAAGUCCUACCUUCUCAUAUUCCUUCGGGCACCUAACGUCUGAACUCCUAAGCUUAUCUACGAUUAUCUCCCCCGUGGACACACCCAGUCUUGCACACCUAUGCACGCCAGAGAGCCUACGGGAGCUAGCUUAGAUCAGAGGACAUUGAACUGGUAUUUGAACACAAGGGUUGCGGGAUUCCUUCAUCCAGCUGAAAAGGUAUCCUAAAUUGUGUGGCCCCACAUGGCACCAAAAGAACUCGAGGGAAGUCCAAACCAGCGGACCCGAGAGAAGAUAGACGGCGCGGACUGGGUCUCGUGUGUCAGACUGCCUUGUUCGUGACAGUUUACGCACUCGGAGGUUCGUGGGUUGUUGUUUGAUUUAACGUCACACAGGGCAACCUGUUUUGUUGGCUCGACUCCGAAACGGAAUCAGAGACAUUUUUAGCUUAAGCAUUGGGGGCGAGCAGGCGGUGGGGCUGCGGGAGGAUUUUCUGUUGUGCGAAGCCACGUUUCUGAAGCUGCGCUGCGGCUGGUUUUCGACGGGGCGCCUGGUUCUUCUUGUCUGCAAGACGCCUCUGCCCAAAGGCACCUGAAACAAGCCACUCGUAAAACAGGCUCCGAUGAAAUCCUUGCUUGUAAUGACACAAGCAAACCAACCGACCGACACCUCUUUAAGUGACAAACGGGGUUUAGGGUAUUUGGCACCGCAGCCGGGAUAAAAUGCCAGGUUCCUCGGACAGAACGUCCGACCGUUUUAAAACUGACUCCUAGUACUUUCUGUCUAAGCAAGCCUUGGAGCGCAAUGGGAUCCUCUCCGGAGCAAACGUCCUUUUGAAAGGGCUCCUGUCCUCCCCAAACAGAAAGGCUUCCGUCUCACUGGAUACCAACCUGGAUGUCCUACGUCCGAGGAAGGGAGCGGGAGAGAAAUAUAGGCAGGCUGCCCCCACGCUCCAGCUGGGAUUUGCUUGCGCAUAAGUGUGCGUAAAGAUCUGGGAGAAUGCUAUGUUUCGGCUUCACAGGGUACAAGCUGGAAGUUCUCGUCCUCAAUCCACUCCCCUGUCCUUGAAAGCUAGGAGAAACAUUGCUCCCUUGUUGCAUUCCACAGACAGGAAAACAGGAGUGCAGUGGACCGCCCUCCGCCUCCCGCGAUCCCUUCGCAGGUUGCCUCGCUGACCAGACUCAAUAGAAAGCAGGCGACGUUGCGACGGCGAACUUAGAGCGGCCAUCUGUGGUAUCAAUGGCUCAUUGGUCAGCUGCUCCAGACUGCGUUUCUUGGUUGUGUGUGAGAGAGUGGAGCGAUUUCAAGUUUGUUCAAAAUGGUUAGUUUUGCAGUUGGGCGAAGGGGUGGUAUACAUUGUGAGCCUGUGUGAGUUUGUGUAUAUCGGAUAUCCCUGGCCUAAGAUUACAAAAACUCCUUUCUAGCUACAAAGAUGCACAUCAUUAUCCUUUUAGAAAGGAUUGGGAGAAAAGAUGCAGUGCGUUAAAACUGUGCGUUGGACUUAUUCAGUGGGUUAAGAAUUUUAGAAACACAUUUUAAAAAUCAUUUUGGAAAAAAGUAGAUUGAAAAUAAAAUAUUUU
RNAcentral lists this long non-coding RNA (6887 nucleotides) under Podarcis lilfordi (Lilford's wall lizard). Lineage: Eukaryota; Metazoa; Chordata; Lepidosauria; Squamata; Lacertidae. The record is from RNAcentral.